GUGCUUGCUUCAGCAGCACAUAUACUAAAAUUGAAAUGAUACAGAGAUUAGCAUGGCCCCUGUGCAAGGAUGACAUGCAAAUUCAUAUCUUUACUCGAUUAUAUU
RNAcentral lists this small nuclear RNA (105 nucleotides) under Sorex araneus (European shrew). Lineage: Eukaryota; Metazoa; Chordata; Mammalia; Eulipotyphla; Soricidae. The record is from RNAcentral.